AGCUCCAAUAGCGUAUACUAAAGUUGUUGCAGUUAAAAAGCUCGUAGUUGAAUUUGUAAGGGUUGUUGUUGAUAAGAAAUGAAAUGUUUUUUAUUGAAUGAUAGCUUUUAUUUGUUAUUUGGUGAUAUCCGUUAUUAAUUUAAUAGAUGUUGUUAGAGUAACGUUUUACUGUGAGUAAAAUAGAGUGUUCAAAGCAGGCUUAUGCCGUUGAAUACGUUAGCAUGGAAUAAUAAGAUAAGACCUUGUUGUUUAUUUUGUUGGUUAUGUGAUGAGUGUAAUGAUUAAUAGGGAUAGUUGGGGGUAUUCGUAUUCCAUUGUCAGAGGUGAAAUUCUUGGAUUUCUGGAAGACGAACUAGUGCGAAAGCAUUUACCAAGGAUGUUUUCA
This 385-nucleotide ribosomal RNA is filed under the name uncultured eukaryote. RNAcentral describes it as "partial small subunit ribosomal RNA". It matches the Rfam family "Eukaryotic small subunit ribosomal RNA", at positions 587 to 972 of the family's 1831-position model. The record is from RNAcentral.